This 3369-nucleotide long non-coding RNA is filed under the name Podarcis lilfordi (Lilford's wall lizard). Lineage: Eukaryota; Metazoa; Chordata; Lepidosauria; Squamata; Lacertidae. The record is from RNAcentral.
UGAGGGUACAGUGGGAGGACCGUGUCCAGGGCCAUGAAAGGUGGUAUGAAAAUGACAUAUAGCUAGUAGAAAUUACACUGAAUGAGCCCAUUGGUCCAUGCUGUCUACACUGACUGUCCACAGUGUCCCAUCAUGUUAAGCUGGACGGUAGCUAGAAUAAUGGGGAAAGCCAUGGAACAAGACUGGAAUGGAAUGUGGGAAACCUGCUUAUUCCUAUGGUAGAUAUAUCCUGUCUUAAGGAAGUUGUGUCCUAUUUUUUCCAUAGUCCUGGAACACUUCUUGAAAACCAGGCUUUGGAGAAAGAGAUUAAUCCAAUUCACCCAAGGUAUUAUGAAUCAUUAACUGGCUAGUAAUAUGUGGUUUGUCUUUAUGACUAUUUAAUGAAAAUCAUAUUUUAUAUGAUUUUUUAAAAACACACACACAUGAAUUUCCAGGGAUAUUUGAUCCACAAACCAUCCACUAAAACCUUUUCUUCCUGGAAUCUACUGUGCGGUGAGUAGUAAAAUGGAUCAUAUUUUUCUUAUGCAAUCAGAGCACUUUCCCCAUUACUUUAAGUUUCCAGAUUCCACCAGUUUAUAUACCAUCUUUUCCUUUUAAGUAUCUGUACUUUACUGUAAGAUCAGAGGGAGCCUUCUGAAAAUAGGAAUGAAGUGUCAUGCCACCUUAGCCUUUGAACAGCUUUGAAUUAUUUCCCUGUAAUCAUUACUGCAGAUUAAUGGCAUCAAAGAGCGGUUGUGCAGCAGGAUUUUCUUUUUUUUGAAAAGCUUCUAAUAAAUAUAUCAUUAUAGCAAAUCAUACCAUCCAUGUAGGGUUUCUUCCCUUGGCUUGCAAAAUGUAUGAAUUGCUUUUUACAAAUUUUAAACGAUGUGAUUCUAGCAACCCAAGGGCAACCUCAAAGUCGACCAGAACAUCCUUAAGACAUUUGCACCUACGCAGCAAAGGUGACCUAUGAGCAGAAAUAUGUUUCUCUUCAUAGAGUGCUCUUCCAGAUAGGAUGCCAGUAUACCCUUGAGUGCUGUGUAUUUGUGGUGGGGGCCUCUUGCAUCCAGCCCCUGGGGCAGGAGAGAGCACUGCAUGGCCACCAAUCAGAUGCAGAGUUGGUGCUGUCAAUUUUGAACGGGCUGAUAAUUUCUUGGGUAGGGGAGAAUGAUGGAUCAAGGUCCUUCACUCUUUCUAACAAGUUUUUGAUGAGGGUACAGUUGAGUCCAACAUCCUGAUACCAACACAAAACAAGACAAAAUUCUGGAUAGGCUUCUCACAGUCAUCUGGUUGGCCACUGUGAGAACAGGAUGCUGGACUAGAUGGGCCAUUAGCCUGAUUCAACAAUCUCGUCUUAUGUUGUUGGGCUCCUGACCACUGGUCAUGUUGACUGGAGCUGAUGGGAAUUAGAAUGCAACAACAUCUAGAGGGCAUAAUUUGGCUGCUCCUGAUUUAUGCUGUUAGAAGAGAGAUCUGAGGAUCAAAUGAAAUGAGACACCAUUAAUGCAAUUAGCAAUUGUGUGAAUGAAUAGUUUUGAGAGUAUAAAUAGCAGGUGUGGAUGGCUCACUCUGGCACAUAUGGAAGUCCCACCCCUCUGAUACAGCCCCCCUUCCUCCAUGGAGGCCACAACAGGGUCAAAUGGUUAAAGCUUCCAUUUUCUCCUUCCCCAGGGUUAUAAUCACACCUGCUAUUUACACUUUAGAAAUCAUUCACCCAAUUGCUAAUUACACAAAUGUUACCACACUUAAGAGCUAGCUGAAGAGUCUUUGGGGAUCCAAGAGACUUCUUAGAAUUUAGAUGAGGCAAAUAACUUCAUGGAGUAUAUCUGAGGAAUUAGUAGAGGCCCUGAAGAAUUGGAUGGGAAGGCAUGAGGGAGAUUCCAUCAGCCUGAAUGUUGCUACAUUUAUAUCUCUUCUUCUUCCUGAUGUGGGCUCCCUGGUUUGGAAGCUCUAGUUCAGGCACAGGCAAACUCGGCCCUCCAGAUGUUUUGGGACUACAACUCCCAUCAUCCCUAGCUAACAGGACCAGUGGUCAGGGAUGAUGGGAGUUGUAGUCACAAAACAUCUGGAGGGCUGAGUUUGCCUAUGCCUGCUCUAGUUCAUGCAGAAUGUAGUAAUCUGACUCCUGAUGGAGUGUUACUCCUUUGCUAAAACACCUGCAUUGGCCAGGCUGAAGGUUUCUGUAUUAAUCUACACAGCGGUCAACAACUUGAGCCAGGAUACCUGAAAGAUUGCCUAAACCCCCUUAUCCUAGUUUGAUCACUGAGAUUAUCCAGAAGAGUGCUUUUAUUUGUCUCCUGGGUUAUGGAGUUCCAGCUGGCAUCUUCUAGGAGUUGGGCAUUUAGUGUUGUUGGUCCCAUGCUGUGGAGCACUCUUCCAGAAGAGAUUUAUCAGACACACUUGCUUUUGGUUCUUGAAGACCUUUUUGUGUAGACAAGCUGAUGUAACUGUUUAAUUUUUUUGAUCAGCCAAUCAUUUUAAUCAGAGCUUUUUUCAGCUGGAAUUCACUGGAAUUCAGUUUCAGCACCUUUUAGGUGGAUGCCAUUUCCAUCAUAAAACAAACAAGGGAGGCGUUCUGGGUGAGUUCUAAAAAAGAGCUCUGAUUUAAACAAUCAUGUUUUACUAUUUUUUAUGUUUUCUUUAAUAUUUUAUUGCAUGUAGUGUUGUUCACCACCAUGUUAUAUUGUAUUAAUUGGUGGUAUAUAAAUAUUUUUCUGAAUAUACAGUGGUACCUCAGUUUUUGAGUGUCUCAGAAGCCGAACCUUUCGGUUUUCGAACAUCGAAAACCCGGAAGUAAUUGCUUCUGUUUUCGAACACACCUUGGAAGUUGAAUGGCUUCCACUGCAUGUUUUUCAAUUUUUCCAUUUGAACUUGUAGCCAGCCCUUUGUGCCUUGGUUUUUGAACAUUUUGGAAGUCAAACAGAGGUACCACUGUAUCACCAUCACCAUAAUAUUUACAUCUCUUUCCCAAGGGAGCCCAAGUUGGUGUCCCUGUUCCAUUAUCUCUCACAACAUGGAUGGAUGUUGUGGAUGGUCUGAGUGACUGGCUCAAGGUUUCCCAGAGAGCUUCAUGAAUGAGCAGAGUUUUGAACCAUGGUCUGCAAGGUCCUAGUCCAACCGUUACCCUAUGCUGAUUCACACCAGACCAUGCUGAACAUUUUAGUUUUGGAAAUCACUUCUGUUACUAAUAUGCUAGCAAUUUUGACUCAGCCAUCAUUGUUAGAUUUUCUUUUCUACAAGUCUGAACAUUUUCAAUACUUUGUCCUUCACCUUCAUGCAACGCUUUUGUGAGACUUCGCCCCUUUCUCAACUACAGUAGCAUUUAAUUGAAUGCUCUGAAUAAUCUUGCCUUCAUUUACCGCUACUGCCAAGGGAGAAAAUAAUUUCCAG